Molecule: ribosomal RNA, 301 nt
Filed under: uncultured bacterium
Lineage: Bacteria
Description: partial 16S ribosomal RNA
Rfam family: Bacterial small subunit ribosomal RNA
Source: RNAcentral
CAGUCGCCGCGGUAAUACGGAGGGUGCAAGCGUUAAUCGGAAUUACUGGGCGUAAAGCGUGCGUAGGCGGUUCGUUAAGUCUGUUGUGAAAGCCCCGGGCUCAACCUGGGAAUGGCAAUGGAUACUGGCGAGCUAGAGUGUGUCAGAGGAUGGUGGAAUUCCCGGUGUAGCGGUGGAAUGCGUAGAGAUCGGGAGGAACAUCAGUGGCGAAGGCGGCCAUCUGGGACAACACUGACGCUGAGGCACGAAAGCGUGGGGAGCAAACAGGAUUAGAUACCCCCGUAGUCCCUGUCUCUUAUAA